CAGAGCUGCAGGCCCUGCCGCCAGACUGUCGGUCAAGGCAAACCUGCCUGGCAGCCCGCCCACAGCACACCCCUGCAGCCUGUGACUGCUACAGCACAACUCCCUCUGACCUGGAAAGCACUGCCGAGGUAUCCUGCCUGGGAGGGAAAACUGAGCUCCAAAAUACGCGAGACUCCAUUGGUCAUGGCUCCCCUUCCACCACAUAAAGUCACCUUCAUAACGUCACUGAGAUACGAACUAGUCAAGCUGACUGAAAUCUACUGAUAGCUUGAAACACUGGGCUUUAAUGAAAAGUAUUCUGAAUUCCUGUUACCACAUAAAGAAUCACCAAACCAGGACAAAGCCAGAUUUCCUUCCCCACAUUUUCAUAUGGGGAAAAUAUAGGAAAAGAGUCGGAAGAGAAAAUUCCUGAAGUUGAACAUUAUUGUUUAAUAUAAUCACAGAGUGGAAAUGAAGAAAUUUACAUGUCAUAUUAAACUGCGAGGUGAACAGUAUGAUUAUUUCAAAGCUCUGAUGGGAAUGGACAGUUUCACUGAAAACCUGCCAGCUGCGCAAUUUUUCUGGUCACAGUGGACAUGAUGAAGACUGGACCAUGACCGAACACCUUCUUUAAUACUUACUGAUGUAACUCCAAGUCCACCUUGCAAAUGAGGGUUAACCACUUC
Molecule: long non-coding RNA, 665 nt
Organism: Lepidothrix coronata (blue-crowned manakin)
Lineage: Eukaryota; Metazoa; Chordata; Aves; Passeriformes; Pipridae
Exons: 4
Source: RefSeq, a predicted model, not a curated record